This 604-nucleotide ribosomal RNA is filed under the name Isoptericola sp. Its description in RNAcentral is "bacterial SSU rRNA". It matches the Rfam family "Bacterial small subunit ribosomal RNA", at positions 73 to 692 of the family's 1533-position model. Lineage: Bacteria; Bacillati; Actinomycetota; Actinomycetes; Micrococcales; Promicromonosporaceae. The record is from RNAcentral.
GCCCAGCUUGCUGGGUGGAUCAGUGGCGAACGGGUGAGUAACACGUGAGCAACCUGCCCUCCACUUCGGGAUAAGCCUUGGAAACGGGGUCUAAUACCGGAUAUGAGCCUGCAUCGCAUGGUGUGGGUUGGAAAGUUUUUCGGUGGGGGAUGGGCUCGCGGCCUAUCAGCUUGUUGGUGGGGUGAUGGCCUACCAAGGCGUCGACGGGUAGCCGGCCUGAGAGGGCGACCGGCCACACUGGGACUGAGACACGGCCCAGACUCCUACGGGAGGCAGCAGUGGGGAAUAUUGCACAAUGGGCGAAAGCCUGAUGCAGCGACGCCGCGUGAGGGAUGACGGCCUUCGGGUUGUAAACCUCUUUCAGCAGGGAAGAAGCGCAAGUGACGGUACCUGCAGAAGAAGCGCCGGCUAACUACGUGCCAGCAGCCGCGGUAAUACGUAGGGCGCAAGCGUUGUCCGGAAUUAUUGGGCGUAAAGAGCUCGUAGGCGGUCUGUCGCGUCUGGUGUGAAAUCCCGAGGCUCAACCUCGGGCUUGCAUCGGGUACGGGCAGACUAGAGUGCGGUAGGGGAGACUGGAAUUCCUGGUGUAGCGGUGGAAUGCGCA